RNAcentral lists this transfer RNA (72 nucleotides) under Bos taurus (domestic cattle). It matches the Rfam family "tRNA". From Rfam's summary of the family: Transfer RNA (tRNA) molecules are approximately 80 nucleotides in length. Their secondary structure includes four short double-helical elements and three loops (D, anti-codon, and T loops). Lineage: Eukaryota; Metazoa; Chordata; Mammalia; Artiodactyla; Bovidae. The record is from Rfam by way of RNAcentral. RNAcentral also lists the same sequence under 4 other names.
UCCCUGGUGGUCCAGUGGCUAAGACUCUGAGCUCCCAAUAGAGGGGCCCAGGUUUGAUUCCUGGUAAGGGAA